AUGAAGCUUUUCCAGGUCGUGGUGUGGGACCCCGUCACCAGAGACCAGCACCGCAUUGCCAUUCCCCCGGGGUUCGACAGGGCACACGGGGCGGUGCUUCGCACCACCGGAGACAAACACUUUCAGGUGGUCUUGGUGGUGAGACAUUGGGAUGACGAGCAACAUACACGUGCGAUUGCCUGUGUUUACUCGUCAAAGACCGGCUUAUGGGGAGAUCGUAUCUCAACACCGCUUCCAUAUCAACCUGAUGUGAGUGGUUCUCCCACCAUGCUUUAUGAGCUUGAUGCUGUGCUGGUUGGAGAUUCCCUUUACUGGAUGCUUUCUGGGAAUUUUGGUGGAAUUCUCAAGUUUGAUUUGGAGAAGGAGAGCCUAGCUGUGAUACGAGUGCCGCCAGUGGAUAUGUAUGGCUAG
This 411-nucleotide ribosomal RNA is filed under the name Triticum aestivum (bread wheat). RNAcentral's name for it is "partial small subunit ribosomal RNA". The record is from RNAcentral. Lineage: Eukaryota; Viridiplantae; Streptophyta; Magnoliopsida; Poales; Poaceae.